GACGAACGCUGGCGGCGUGCCUAAUACAUGCAAGUAGAACGCUGAAGGAGGAGCUUGCUUCUCUGGAUGAGUUUCGAACGGGUGAGUAACGCGUAGGUAACCUGCCUGGUAGCGGGGGAUAACUCUUGGAAACGAUAGCUAAUACCGCAUAAUAUUUACUAUUGCAUGAUAUUCAGUUGAAAGGUGCAACUGUACCACUACCAGAUGGACCUGCGUUGUCUUAGCUAGUUGGUGGGGUAACGGCUCACCACGGCGACGAAACAUAGCCGACCUGGGGGGGGAAUCGGCAAAACUGAAACGGAGACAGGGCCCAGAUUCCAAGGGGAGGCAGCAGAGGGGAAUCUUCGGAAAGGGACGAAAGUCUAACCGAGAAACGCCGCGGGAGUGAAGAGAGUUUUCGGAUCGAAAAGCUCUGUUGUAAGAAGAAAGAGUGUGAGAGUGGAAAGCUCACACUGUGACGGUAGCUUACCAGAAAGGGACGGCUAACUACGUG
Molecule: ribosomal RNA, 493 nt
Filed under: uncultured bacterium
Lineage: Bacteria
Description: partial 16S ribosomal RNA
Rfam family: Bacterial small subunit ribosomal RNA
Source: RNAcentral